UUUAAUAAAAUAUUAUAAUACCUGCUCAAUGAAUAAUUUUUAAUAGCCGCGUAAGUGCUAAGGUAGCAUAAUAAUUAGUUUUUUAAUUGAAAAAUGGAAUGAAAGGUUUUAUAAAAUUAUAAUUAUUUUACAAAUUUUAUGAAUUUAAAAGUUAAGUGAAAAUUCUUAAAAAAUUUUUUUAGACGAGAAGACCCUAUGAAACUAAAAAAUUUAAUAAAAACUAAAAUAUUUUAAUAAUUUUAUUUUUUGGGGAAAAAAAAAAUUUUUUUAUUAUAACAAUUAUAUUAUAAAAUAUCCUUUCGGAAUUAUUAGAUAGUUCCUCUAGGGAUAACAGCAUAAUGUUUAUAAAAGAUCAUAUUAAAAUAAAUGUUUGUGACCUCGAUGUUGAAUUAAAUUUUUAUAUAUGUGAAGAAGCUUAUAUAAAUUAGUCUGUUCGACUAAGUAUAU
RNAcentral lists this ribosomal RNA (447 nucleotides) under Paracalanus denudatus. RNAcentral describes it as "partial 16S ribosomal RNA". Lineage: Eukaryota; Metazoa; Arthropoda; Copepoda; Calanoida; Paracalanidae. The record is from RNAcentral.